This 468-nucleotide ribosomal RNA is filed under the name uncultured bacterium. RNAcentral describes it as "partial 16S ribosomal RNA". The stretch from base 58 to 468 matches the Rfam family "Bacterial small subunit ribosomal RNA", at positions 39 to 507 of the family's 1533-position model. The record is from RNAcentral.
GGGGGGGGGGGGGGGGGGGGGGGGGGGGGGGGGGGCGGGCGGGGGGGGCGGGCGGGGGUGGGGUGCUGGGGGGGCGGAGGGGUGGGUAACACGUGAGUAACCUGCCCUUGACUUUGGGAUAACUUCAGGAAACUGGGGCUAAUACCGGAUCGGAGCUCCUGCUGCAUGGUGGGGGGUGGAAAGUUUCGGCGGUUGGGGAUGGACUCGCGGCUUAUCAGCUUGUUGGUGGGGUAGUGGCUUACCAAGGCUUUGACGGGUAGCCGGCCUGAGAGGGUGACCGGCCACAUUGGGACUGAGAUACGGCCCAGACUCCUACGGGAGGCAGCAGUGGGGAAUAUUGCACAAUGGGCGGAAGCCUGAUGCAGCAACGCCGCGUGCGGGAUGACGGCCUUCGGGUUGUAAACCGCUUUCGCCUGUGACGAAGCGUGAGUGACGGUAAUGGGUAAAGAAGCACCGGCUAACUACGUG